ACAUGCAGUCGAGCGACAGACGAGGAGCUUGCUCCUCUGACGUUAGCGGCGGACGGGUGAGUAACACGUGGAUAACCUACCUAUAAGACUGGGAUAACUUCGGGAAACCGGAGCUAAUACCGGAUAAUAUAUUGAACCGCAUGGUUCAAUAGUGAAAGACGGUUUUGCUGUCACUUAUAGAUGGAUCCGCGCCGCAUUAGCUAGUUGGUAAGGUAACGGCUUACCAAGGCAACGAUGCGUAGCCGACCUGAGAGGGUGAUCGGCCACACUGGAACUGAGACACGGUCCAGACUCCUACGGGAGGCAGCAGUAGGGAAUCUUCCGCAAUGGGCGAAAGCCUGACGGAGCAACGCCGCGUGAGUGAUGAAGGUCUUCGGAUCGUAAAACUCUGUUAUUAGGGAAGAACAAAUGUGUAAGUAACUAUGCACGUCUUGACGGUACCUAAUCAGAAAGCCACGGCUAACUACGUGCCAGCAGCCGCGGUAAUACGUAGGUGGCAAGCGUUAUCCGGAAUUAUUGGGCGUAAAGCGCGCGUAGGCGGUUUUUUAAGUCUGAUGUGAAAGCCCACGGCUCAACCGUGGAGGGUCAUUGGAAACUGGAAAACUUGAGUGCAGAAGAGGAGAGUGGAAUUCCAUGUGUAGCGGUGAAAUGCGCAGAGAUAUGGAGGAACACCAGUGGCGAAGGCGACUUUCUGGUCUGUAACUGACGCUGAUGUGCGAAAGCGUGGGGAUCAGACAGGAUUAGAUACCCUGGUAGUCCACGCCGUAAACGAUGAGUGCUAAGUGUUAGGGGGUUUCCGCCCCUUAGUGCUGCAGCUAACGCAUUAAGCACUCCGCCUGGGGAGUACGACCGCAAGGUUGAAACUCAAAGGAAUUGACGGGGACCCGCACAAGCGGUGGAGCAUGUGGUUUAAUUCGAAGCAACGCGAAGAACCUUACCAAAUCUUGACAUCCUCUGACCCCUCUAGAGAUAGAGUUUUCCCCUUCGGGGGACAGAAUGACAGGUGGUGCAUGGUUGUCGUCACCUCCUGUCCUGAAAUGUUGGGUUAAGUCCCCCAACGAGCGCAACCCUUAAGCUUAUUUGCCAUCAUUAAAUUGGGCACUCUAAAUUGACUGCCCGUGACCACCCGAAGAAAGGUGGGGAUGACGUCAAAUCAUCAGGCCCCUUAAUAUUUGGGC
RNAcentral lists this ribosomal RNA (1178 nucleotides) under Staphylococcus epidermidis. RNAcentral describes it as "bacterial SSU rRNA". It matches the Rfam family "Bacterial small subunit ribosomal RNA", at positions 53 to 1214 of the family's 1533-position model. Lineage: Bacteria; Bacillati; Bacillota; Bacilli; Caryophanales; Staphylococcaceae. The record is from RNAcentral.